RNAcentral lists this non-coding RNA (28 nucleotides) under Bombyx mori (domestic silkworm). The record is from RNAcentral. Lineage: Eukaryota; Metazoa; Arthropoda; Insecta; Lepidoptera; Bombycidae.
GAACGAUGCGGGCAGCCAGAAUACGUUC